GUAUUUAUUUGGCAGGGGAGAUACCAUGAUUAUGAAGGUGUUUUUCCUGGGGCAAGGCUUAUUCAUUGCACUUCAGAUAUGCUGAUUCCUGCGAUUUCCCAAAAUGUGGGAAACUUACCUGCAUGAUUUGUGGUUGUGGGGGAUUGCAAUCACACUCACCUCUA
Molecule: small nuclear RNA, 164 nt
Organism: Sorex araneus (European shrew)
Lineage: Eukaryota; Metazoa; Chordata; Mammalia; Eulipotyphla; Soricidae
Gene: U1
Rfam family: U1 spliceosomal RNA
About the family: U1 is a small nuclear RNA (snRNA) component of the spliceosome (involved in pre-mRNA splicing). Its 5' end forms complementary base pairs with the 5' splice junction, thus defining the 5' donor site of an intron.
Source: Ensembl